RNAcentral lists this ribosomal RNA (496 nucleotides) under uncultured Glomeromycotina. Its description in RNAcentral is "partial small subunit ribosomal RNA". It matches the Rfam family "Eukaryotic small subunit ribosomal RNA", at positions 591 to 1092 of the family's 1831-position model. The record is from RNAcentral. Lineage: Eukaryota; Fungi; Glomeromycota.
CCAAUAGCGUAUAUUAAAGUUGUUGCAGUUAAAAAGCUCGUAGUUGAAUUUCGGGGUUCCACCGUUGGUCGGGCUAUUGUUUGUACUGGCGUGUGGAAUUUCUACCUUCUGGGGAACUAUCAUGUUAUUAAUUUAGCGUGGUAGGAAACCAGGACCUUUACCUUGAAAAAAUUAGAGUGUUCAAAGCAGGCUUAUGUCUGAAUACAUUAGCAUGGAAUAAUAAAAUAGGACGGUGGUCCUGUUUUGUUGGUUUCUGAAUAACCGUAAUGAUUAAUAGGGAUAGUUGGGGGCAUUAGUAUUCAAUUGUAAGAGGUGAAAUUCUUGGAUUUAUUGAAGACUAACUACUGCGAAAGCAUUUGCCAAGGAUGUUUUCAUUAAUCAAGAACGAAAGUUAGGGGAUCGAAGACGAUCAGAUACCGUCAUAGUCUUAACCAUAAACUAUGCCGACUAGGGAUCGGACGAUGUUAACUUUUCUUGACUCGUUCGGCGCCUUACG